This 253-nucleotide ribosomal RNA is filed under the name uncultured Massilia sp. RNAcentral's name for it is "partial 16S ribosomal RNA". It matches the Rfam family "Bacterial small subunit ribosomal RNA", at positions 524 to 776 of the family's 1533-position model. Lineage: Bacteria; Pseudomonadati; Pseudomonadota; Betaproteobacteria; Burkholderiales; Oxalobacteraceae. The record is from RNAcentral.
UACGAAGGGGGCUAGCGUUAAUCGGAAUUACUGGGCGUAAAGCGUGCGCAGGCGGUUCUGUAAGUCUGUCGUGAAAUCCCCGGGCUUAACCUGGGAAUUGCGAUGGAGACUGCAAGGCUAGAAUCUGGCAGAGGGGGGUAGAAUUCCACGUGUAGCAGUGAAAUGCGUAGAGAUGUGGAGGAACACCGAUGGCGAAGGCAGCCCCCUGGGUCAAGAUUGACGCUCAUGCACGAAAGCGUGGGGAGCAAACAGG